GAACGCGAAGAACCUUACCAGGUCUUGACAUUGAUGGACGAAACAAGAGAUUGUUUUUCUCCUUCGGGAGCCAGAAAACAGGUGGUGCACGGCUGUCGUCAGCUCGUGUCGUGAGAUGUUGGGUUAAGUCCCGCAACGAGCGCAACCCCUAUCUUAUGUUGCCAGCACGUAAUGGUGGGAACUCAUGAGAGACUGCCGCAGACAAUGCGGAGGAAGGCGGGGAUGACGUCAAGUCAUCAUGCCCCUUAUGACCUGGGCUACACACGUACUACAAUGGGCUUUAAUAGAGGGAAGCGAAGCCGCGAGGUGGAACAAACCCCAGAAACAAGCUCUCAGUUCGGAUCGUAGGCUGCAACUCGCCUACGUGAAGUCGGAAUCGCUAGUAAUCGCAGGUCAGCAUACUGCGGUGAAUACGUUCCCGGGUCUUGUACACACC
Molecule: ribosomal RNA, 436 nt
Filed under: uncultured bacterium
Lineage: Bacteria
Description: bacterial SSU rRNA
Rfam family: Bacterial small subunit ribosomal RNA
Source: RNAcentral